Molecule: long non-coding RNA, 1729 nt
Organism: Sycon ciliatum
Lineage: Eukaryota; Metazoa; Porifera; Calcarea; Leucosolenida; Sycettidae
Exons: 2
Source: RefSeq, a predicted model, not a curated record
AUUAUUGGUAUCUCCAGCAGCAGGGCCCAGCUAGCGUGUGCAUGGAUUCUGGAUUGUGAUCCCGGCCGCAGUGAUCGGUGGUGAAAUGAAGAAUGCUCCACUCUCCAGCAGGACUGGUGCAUGUACACGAGCGCCUUGCCGAGAGUCAUGAGACAACAGCAAUGGGAUCCACUGGCACCACCGAGCGGUGAAGACAUCCAGACAUGUGAUAGUGUCAGCCGCAUGGACAUAGACAUGGAGAGGGAGUGCAGUAAUAUGGUGUAUGCCUUGAAGGCAGAGCGAUUAGCCGCUGCCGGCACUCAGGGACAGAAGUGCCUCCGAGUCGCAACGCGGCAUGCAGCGGAGGCCAGGCUGGAACCGGUAGGGCAGAUUCGGCGGGAGCACCAUCGCAUGAUGACUGCCCUCAGACGAGCCAAGGAAACCCCUGAGAAAGCACGGCGGAGGCGAGAGAAGGCCCGCCGAAGGGAGGCCAAUCGGCGUGCUCUGGAGACGGAAGAGGAAACGCAGCGGCGAAGAGAGGAGGGACGUAAGCGAGAAGCAGCUAGGCGAGCAGCUCAACGAGCCAAACAGACUACAGUAGAGCCAUCCCAGCAGCAGCAGCAGCAGCAACAGCAGCAGCAUGGCUGUGGUAGAGCAACGCUAAGCCAAAGCAAGGUGACGGGUGAAGAGGACAAGUCGCAACAAGCUGCUCUGGUGGAAGCUAAUGGUGAUUACCUGGAACGGGAAUGCGACGAAUCGGCUGUGUAUGUGCUGCGUAUUGUACCCUUCUUAGAACUUGGACAUCUAAAAAGUAGUAAGAACAGUUGAGUCAGAUUCUUGAUAUGUACUUCGAAGUAGUACUAUGUAGAUACUAGAUCUGUACUAGCACAGGCACAUACGUAUAACUGUGAUGUACAUGUACUCUAUGUCAUAGAACAAGUUGAUGUGACUGUGAUUAUAUGAUUAUACUUCAGUAGAAAAAUCCAUCUGGUAUAUAGACUGGACUACCUCCAUCUUCGAUUUAGGUGUUGUUACAUGUACACUGAGGAUUGAGCACAUUCUUACGCCUUUUCUUGAUGACUUUAGUCAGUGAACCUCUCUUUUUAUACGGGCAAAAGAAAGCACGAGACAGUGAGCUUUUUGCCGAGUAGAUCUGGCCUGCUGCUGCGGGUGUAGAUCAUCGUAGCUUUGUGCAGAGCGCUGGACAGCUAAUUGUCACUAGGAUUGUCUUAACGUCGUAAACUGCCAUGCUUGAGUACUCGUACUGCUGUCGUUAGGCUGCUAAUUUUUAAGGCUUGCUAUUACCAAGAGUACAUAACCCCCCAGAGUGUGCAACGCCGAUCCAGCUCUGUGUAGGGUCUUGGUCGAGCGGAAUCGGAUCUUCUGAUGUCAUGCGUACACUUCACACCAGCGCAAGGCAGGGCACCAUUGUUUUUGAUCCAAGAGUACCCGCGACUCCCCGGGUUCCCCUCAGAUGUGUACGGUAUUAUGACGCAAAGAUCCGAUUCCGCUCGACCAAGACCCUAUGCAGAGCUGGAUCAGGCGUUGCACACUCUGGGGGGUUAUGUACUCUUGCUAUUACUCUCUCCCUGUGACCAAUAAUAGGCAGAUAGAUAAGUAUUGUGCGUACCAUUCGUGCAAUGAUUUAUAUCAUCUGGUUCAGAACCUACCGCCUACAAAUUGACCGCCAUUGCGCUAGUUGGCCAAUCCACAUACAGCAUGGCGAGGUUGGCAUACAAGUGUAAACCGA